Molecule: transfer RNA, 86 nt
Filed under: uncultured Rubrobacter sp.
Lineage: Bacteria; Bacillati; Actinomycetota; Rubrobacteria; Rubrobacterales; Rubrobacteraceae
Also listed under: 1 other name
Rfam family: tRNA
About the family: Transfer RNA (tRNA) molecules are approximately 80 nucleotides in length. Their secondary structure includes four short double-helical elements and three loops (D, anti-codon, and T loops).
Source: RNAcentral
GCCGGAGUGGCGGAAUUGGUAGACGCGCCGGACUCAAAAUCCGGUUCCCCGAGAGGGGAGUGUCGGUUCGAGCCCGACCUCCGGUA